RNAcentral lists this ribosomal RNA (372 nucleotides) under uncultured bacterium. RNAcentral's name for it is "bacterial SSU rRNA". It matches the Rfam family "Bacterial small subunit ribosomal RNA", at positions 29 to 368 of the family's 1533-position model. The record is from RNAcentral.
AACGAACGCUGGCGGCGUGGCUAAGACAUGCAAGUCGUACGAUAGGUUGUAGCAAUAUGGCCUAUAGUGGCGGACGGGUGAGUAAUAAAUAGGUAACGUACCCCGGGCACAGGAAUAGCGUCGGGUCCCGCAAGGGAUCCUUUGCGAAAGUGACGGUAAUACCUGGUGACGUCCUUGGGCGGCAUCGCUUGAGGACCAUAAGAUGGGGACCUUCGGGCCUAUCGGCCUGGGCGCGGCCUAUCCUAUCAGCUAGUUGGUGAGGUAACGGCUCACCAAGCUUCGACGGGUAACCGGACUGAGAGGUUGGCCGGUCACAUCGGGACUGAGACACUGCCCGGACAUCUACGGAUGGCUGCAGUAACGAAUAUUCCG